This 1542-nucleotide ribosomal RNA is filed under the name Klebsiella pneumoniae 30684/NJST258_2. RNAcentral describes it as "bacterial SSU rRNA". It matches the Rfam family "Bacterial small subunit ribosomal RNA". The record is from RNAcentral. Lineage: Bacteria; Pseudomonadati; Pseudomonadota; Gammaproteobacteria; Enterobacterales; Enterobacteriaceae.
AAAUUGAAGAGUUUGAUCAUGGCUCAGAUUGAACGCUGGCGGCAGGCCUAACACAUGCAAGUCGAGCGGUAGCACAGAGAGCUUGCUCUCGGGUGACGAGCGGCGGACGGGUGAGUAAUGUCUGGGAAACUGCCUGAUGGAGGGGGAUAACUACUGGAAACGGUAGCUAAUACCGCAUAAUGUCGCAAGACCAAAGUGGGGGACCUUCGGGCCUCAUGCCAUCAGAUGUGCCCAGAUGGGAUUAGCUAGUAGGUGGGGUAACGGCUCACCUAGGCGACGAUCCCUAGCUGGUCUGAGAGGAUGACCAGCCACACUGGAACUGAGACACGGUCCAGACUCCUACGGGAGGCAGCAGUGGGGAAUAUUGCACAAUGGGCGCAAGCCUGAUGCAGCCAUGCCGCGUGUGUGAAGAAGGCCUUCGGGUUGUAAAGCACUUUCAGCGGGGAGGAAGGCGUUAAGGUUAAUAACCUUGGCGAUUGACGUUACCCGCAGAAGAAGCACCGGCUAACUCCGUGCCAGCAGCCGCGGUAAUACGGAGGGUGCAAGCGUUAAUCGGAAUUACUGGGCGUAAAGCGCACGCAGGCGGUCUGUCAAGUCGGAUGUGAAAUCCCCGGGCUCAACCUGGGAACUGCAUUCGAAACUGGCAGGCUAGAGUCUUGUAGAGGGGGGUAGAAUUCCAGGUGUAGCGGUGAAAUGCGUAGAGAUCUGGAGGAAUACCGGUGGCGAAGGCGGCCCCCUGGACAAAGACUGACGCUCAGGUGCGAAAGCGUGGGGAGCAAACAGGAUUAGAUACCCUGGUAGUCCACGCCGUAAACGAUGUCGAUUUGGAGGUUGUGCCCUUGAGGCGUGGCUUCCGGAGCUAACGCGUUAAAUCGACCGCCUGGGGAGUACGGCCGCAAGGUUAAAACUCAAAUGAAUUGACGGGGGCCCGCACAAGCGGUGGAGCAUGUGGUUUAAUUCGAUGCAACGCGAAGAACCUUACCUGGUCUUGACAUCCACAGAACUUAGCAGAGAUGCUUUGGUGCCUUCGGGAACUGUGAGACAGGUGCUGCAUGGCUGUCGUCAGCUCGUGUUGUGAAAUGUUGGGUUAAGUCCCGCAACGAGCGCAACCCUUAUCCUUUGUUGCCAGCGGUCCGGCCGGGAACUCAAAGGAGACUGCCAGUGAUAAACUGGAGGAAGGUGGGGAUGACGUCAAGUCAUCAUGGCCCUUACGACCAGGGCUACACACGUGCUACAAUGGCAUAUACAAAGAGAAGCGACCUCGCGAGAGCAAGCGGACCUCAUAAAGUAUGUCGUAGUCCGGAUUGGAGUCUGCAACUCGACUCCAUGAAGUCGGAAUCGCUAGUAAUCGUAGAUCAGAAUGCUACGGUGAAUACGUUCCCGGGCCUUGUACACACCGCCCGUCACACCAUGGGAGUGGGUUGCAAAAGAAGUAGGUAGCUUAACCUUCGGGAGGGCGCUUACCACUUUGUGAUUCAUGACUGGGGUGAAGUCGUAACAAGGUAACCGUAGGGGAACCUGCGGUUGGAUCACCUCCUUACC